Non-coding RNA from Schizosaccharomyces pombe (fission yeast), 549 nucleotides. NCBI's taxonomy places the organism in Eukaryota, Fungi, Ascomycota, Schizosaccharomycetes, Schizosaccharomycetales, Schizosaccharomycetaceae. The record is from the annotation of a GenBank genome assembly.
CGGACAUUUCUAAAAAUUCGCUUUUGAAUUGAUCCAACAAGGCACGAAUUCUGGACUCUAAGUAUGUACUACUUCUCUCACUUUGCACAAAAAUAUUCAAAUUUAUAAAAGGCGUGACUUGACGAACUAAAGUAAAAACAAUAUAACCAAGUUGUUCUUUAGUACGCAAGAUGGAGAAAGUGGGUUCCUUCAUUAUUUGCCGUGCUAGUCGAGUUAGGGCUCCAGAUCUUUCAUCGUCAAGCUGGCUGAUUUGAAGAUUAUACAUAAUAGCAGAAUUUUUCUCUUCCUUGUUUGGCACCACAGUUUUGUAAAUAUAAUUACCACCUUCAGGAACUAUUAUAGCCCUUUUACGGCUCAACUGGGAUGCAAAGACUGGUUUUGGGUCAAUCAGUUUUUGAGCGGAUUCAAUAAGAUUUUUGGCAUCUUCCUCGGUAUAGUUUCCAUGUACCAAAGAUUCUAAAAAGUUUUGUUUUAAUAAAUCACUAAUAAAAUCAGACAUAUCGCCCACCUGGACAUCUUUAAUAGCUUCACGUAACUCAGCAUUUGACC